Molecule: long non-coding RNA, 531 nt
Filed under: Brachypodium distachyon (stiff brome)
Lineage: Eukaryota; Viridiplantae; Streptophyta; Magnoliopsida; Poales; Poaceae
Description: long non-coding RNA (BDIS_LNC005296)
Source: RNAcentral
AAAUUUUCUCCUAAACAUGCAUGUUUCCGCUGUAGGAAAUGUAUAUUGCGGAUCGCUGAAAUAUUUCAAAGCAUUAUAGUACAAUAGAUAUUUCGGGUCGAGUUUUAGGUGCAGAGGAGGGUGAAUGGAAAGACCCAUCAAAAAUUGAACCGAGCUGACGAAGAGAUGGUGUGAUUGGAAGUACGUACGCUGCGUACACGUCCAGUGAAACCACCGGUGAUCAUUCUUUGUAGCUACGCCGCCAAGUAAGUGAGCAACACAUCGCUUGGGCUUCAGACUCCUCCAACGUUGAGCAUUGGAAUCUCAUGCAACUACUGCCAUCUUUCACCAUGCAGAUCAAUCAGUUCUCGAUGUCUCCUAUUCAAAAAUUGUCGCUCUUCCUGUUGUGUACGCCGUGUUGAAAUCGCCAGCGAAAUCUCUGCCUGGCUAGCUACUAGUAUAGUCUUGCUUGUGAUGUUACCGUCCAUGCAAGUUUAUGGUAAAGACAAAUAGCCAGUAGGGUGUGCCAUAGCUUUUGUACGUGCAACGAAU